This 73-nucleotide transfer RNA is filed under the name Propionibacteriaceae bacterium. RNAcentral's name for it is "tRNA-Lys". It matches the Rfam family "tRNA". Rfam says of the family: Transfer RNA (tRNA) molecules are approximately 80 nucleotides in length. Their secondary structure includes four short double-helical elements and three loops (D, anti-codon, and T loops). The record is from RNAcentral. Lineage: Bacteria; Bacillati; Actinomycetota; Actinomycetes; Propionibacteriales; Propionibacteriaceae.
GCCCCUAUAGCUCAGUUGGCAGAGCAGUGGACUUUUAAUCCAUGGGUCACGGGUUCGAGCCCCGUUGGGGGCA